Long non-coding RNA from Aedes aegypti (yellow fever mosquito), 234 nucleotides. RefSeq lists it as uncharacterized. The transcript has 3 exons. The record is from RefSeq and is a predicted model, not a curated record. Lineage: Eukaryota; Metazoa; Arthropoda; Insecta; Diptera; Culicidae.
AUUCCAAAAGUGAAACAAGUGCGCGUCGUGAUUAGUAUUUAGAAGGUGGCCAUUGUAGAACAAUAAAGUCAGUGUUGUUAGAAGCAUGCAGUGAAAGAAAUUGUUAAAAGCUAUUGUUAAAAGAUAAUGAAUGCAUGCAGUGUUAAAAGGACAAUUAUUAGUAGCUGUUAGUAUAAAGAGUGUUGUUUUGUAUUAGUACGAUAGCACGAAAAGUUAGUUGAAGAACAACGAAGC